Molecule: long non-coding RNA, 220 nt
Filed under: Elaeis guineensis (African oil palm)
Lineage: Eukaryota; Viridiplantae; Streptophyta; Magnoliopsida; Arecales; Arecaceae
Description: long non-coding RNA (EGUI_LNC053281)
Source: RNAcentral
AUGUAGACUGACUUUUGAGGAUGAAAUGUCUCUAAGAAUUAAACUAACUUCAAUAGGAGUUGAUAUUGCCUUCAGAGAAUAGUGGUAGUCAUCUGAUUAUAAAAGUGGCUAGAAGAGCCAUGGAAUUAUACCUGCAGAAAAACUUUUCUACCAAAAUUUUGAUAGAAGGGUUAGUAAGAAAAUAUUUUUUUUCUUUUUUUUUUUCAAAAGAACAUUCUAG